RNAcentral lists this ribosomal RNA (614 nucleotides) under uncultured bacterium. RNAcentral describes it as "bacterial SSU rRNA". It matches the Rfam family "Bacterial small subunit ribosomal RNA", at positions 338 to 951 of the family's 1533-position model. The record is from RNAcentral.
CCUACGGGAGGCAGCAGUAAGGAAUAUUGGUCAAUGGACGCAAGUCUGAACCAGCCAUGCCGCGUGAAGGAUUAAGGCCCUCUGGGUUGUAAACUUCUUUUAUAGGGGACGAAAAAAGGGCAUUCUUGCUCACUUGACGGUACCCUAGGAAUAAGCACCGGCUAACUCCGUGCCAGCAGCCGCGGUAAUACGGAGGGUGCAAGCGUUAUCCGGAUUUACUGGGUUUAAAGGGUGCGUAGGUGGGUUGGUAAGUCAGUGGUGAAAUCUUCGAGCUUAACUCGGAAACUGCCAUUGAUACUAUCAAUCUUGAAUCAUCUAGAGGUAAGCGGAAUAUGUCAUGUAGCGGUGAAAUGCUUAGAUAUGACAUAGAACACCAAUUGCGAAGGCAGCUUACUAUGGAUGCAUUGACACUGAGGCACGAAAGCGUGGGGAUCAAACAGGAUUAGAUACCCUGGUAGUCCACGCCCUAAACGAUGGAUACUCGACAUUUGUGAUAUACAAUAAGUGUCUGAGCGAAAGCAUUAAGUAUCCACCUGGGAAGUACGACCGCAAGGUUGAAACUUCAAAUUGAAUUGACGGGCUUGAGAGNGCGACGACGACGACGAGGGAGGAGG